CAGCCGCCGCGGUGAAACGUAGGGGGCGAGCGUUAUCCGGAAUUAUUGGGCGUAAAGGGUGCGUAGGCGGUCUAUUAAGUCCGAUGUGAAAGACCACAGCUUAACUGUGGAGGCGCAUUGGAAACUGGUGGACUUGAGUAUGGUAGAGGUAAGCGGAAUUUCCAGUGUAGCGGUGAAAUGCGUAGAUAUUGGAAGGAACACCAGUGGCGAAGGCGGCUUACUGGGCCAUUACUGACGCUGAGGCACGAAAGCGUGGGGAGCAAAUAGGAUUAGAUACCCUAGUAGUCCACGCCGUAAACGAUGAGUGCUAAGUGUCGGGGUAACUCGGUGCUGAAGUUAACAUAUUAAGCACUCCGCCUGGGUAGUACGGCCGCAAGGCUGAAACUCAAAGGAAUUGACGGGUCCCCGCACAAGCGGUGGAGCAUGUUCUUUAAUUCGAUGCAACGCGAAGAACCUUACCUGGGCUUGACAUCCCGCUGACCGCUCUAGAGAUAGAGUUUUCCCUUCGGGGACAGCGGUGACAGGUGGUGCAUGGCC
Molecule: ribosomal RNA, 537 nt
Filed under: uncultured archaeon
Lineage: Archaea
Description: bacterial SSU rRNA
Rfam family: Bacterial small subunit ribosomal RNA
Source: RNAcentral